CUUCCUCGAUCUGCUGCGGGCAGAUGAAAUGGAUGUGGGCGUCGAUGCCGCCGGCAGUCAGAAUCUGGCCUUCGCCGGCGAUGACUUCGGUGCCGGGGCCGACGAUGAUGUCCACGCCGGGCUGCACGUCCGGGUUGCCGGCCUUGCCGAUCUUGAAGAUGCGGCCGUCCUUGAUGCCAACGUCGGCCUUGACGAUGCCCCAGUAGUCGAUGAUCAGCGCAUUGGUAAUCACCAAAUCCACGGCGCGGUCGUUGCCGAGUUGGCUUUGGCCCAUGCCGUCGCGGAU
Molecule: small RNA, 286 nt
Filed under: Methylomonas sp. DH-1
Lineage: Bacteria; Pseudomonadati; Pseudomonadota; Gammaproteobacteria; Methylococcales; Methylococcaceae
Description: 5' ureB small RNA
Rfam family: 5' ureB small RNA
Source: Rfam by way of RNAcentral